RNAcentral lists this ribosomal RNA (465 nucleotides) under uncultured bacterium. RNAcentral describes it as "partial 16S ribosomal RNA". It matches the Rfam family "Bacterial small subunit ribosomal RNA", at positions 28 to 507 of the family's 1533-position model. The record is from RNAcentral.
GAUGAACGCUGGCGGCGUGCUUAACACAUGCAAGUCGAACGGAAAGGCUCCUGCUUGCAGGGGUACUCGAGUGGCGAACGGGUGAGUAACACGUGGGUGAUCUGCCCUGCACUUCGGGAUAAGCCUGGGAAACUGGGUCUAAUACCGGAUAGGACCACAUUUUGGAUGGUGUGGUGGAAAGUUUUUCGGUGUGGGAUGAGCUCGCGGCCUAUCAGCUUGUUGGUGGGGUAAUGGCCUACCAAGGCGUCGACGGGUAGCCGGCCUGAGAGGGUGUACGGCCACAUUGGGACUGAGAUACGGCCCAGACUCCUACGGGAGGCAGCAGUGGGGAAUAUUGCACAAUGGGCGCAAGCCUGAUGCAGCGACGCCGCGUGGGGGAUGACAGCCUUCGGGUUGUAAACUCCUUUCGCUAGGGACGAAGCGCAAGUGACGGUACCUGGAGAAGAAGCACCGGCUAACUACGUG